UAGUUCUUUCUUAAAAUAUUCUAGCAAAGCCAAGUAAAUCUAAUUUUUAAGAAUUAUUCAAUAAAGGUACAGCUUUAUUGAAAAAGGAAACAACCUAAACCUUAGGAUAAUGAAUAUUUUUAAAUAGGUAAAAGGCCAAGUUGGCCUAAAAGCAGCCAUCUUUAAAGAUAGCGUCAAAGCUUCACCUUAAACACACCUUAAAUCUCAUUAUUUUUUCAUAAUCCAACAAUUCUACUAAGCCAUUCUAUACUUUUAUAGAAAAGUUUAUGUUAGGACUAGUAACACAGAAUAAUUUCUCUUACAUGUAAGUUUAAAUCAACCCGAAUACCUCCUUGAUAAUUACUCAAAUUUGAACCUUAAGUAGUACCUAUCAAUUACAAAAACCCUACUUAACUUAUUGUUAAUCAAACAUAUGGAUAUGAAAGAAAGAUUAAAAAAUUAAGAAGGAACUCGGCAAACACAAGUCCCGCCUGUUUACCAAAAACAUCGCCUUUUGAAAAGUAUAAAAGGUAACGCCUGCCCACUGACAGUAUGUUUAACGGCCGCGGUAUUCUGACCGUGCGAAGGUAGCGUAAUCACUUGUCUUUUAAAUGAAGACUCGUAUGAAAGGCAUCACGAGAACUUAGCUGUCUCCUUAAUUCAAUCAGUGAAACUGAUAUCCCUGUAAAAAAGCAGGGAUGAUAACAUAAGACGAGAAGACCCUGUGGAGCUUAAAACAUAAACUACUUCUAUACUCUACUAACUUAUAGUACUAAAAUACAAACCUAGCCUAAGUUUUCUGUUGGGGCGGCUGUGGAGAAAAACUUAUCCUCCAUGAAGAAAAACUUUGAUCUACCGCUCUUAGUAUUAGCAAGCCUAACUUAAAUUGAUCCAAUUUUUGAUCAACGGACCAAGUUACCCCAGGGAUAACAGCGCAAUCCAUUUCAAGAGUCCCUAUCGACAAAUGGGUUUACGACCUCGAUGUUGGAUUAGGACAUCCUAGUGGUGUAGCCGCUACUAAUGGU
This 1004-nucleotide ribosomal RNA is filed under the name Leptobrachium hendricksoni (spotted litter frog). RNAcentral's name for it is "partial 16S ribosomal RNA". It matches the Rfam family "Bacterial large subunit ribosomal RNA", at positions 872 to 2572 of the family's 2925-position model. The record is from RNAcentral. Lineage: Eukaryota; Metazoa; Chordata; Amphibia; Anura; Megophryidae.